AACGCACAUUGCGCCCAUUAGUAUUCUAGUGGGCAUGCCUGUUCGAGCGUCAUUACAACCCUUAAGCCUAGCUUAGUGUUGGGAAUCUACGUAGCGGUGCUGCUUGCGGUUACCGUGUAGUUCCUGAAAUUCAACGGCGGAGUUAUAGUAUCCUCUGAGCGUAGUAAAUUAUUCUCGCUUUUGUUGGUGCUAUAUCCCCUGCCGUUAAACCCCCUAUUUUCAAUGUUUGACCUCGGAUCAGGUAGGAAUACCCGCUGAACUUAA
This 264-nucleotide unclassified non-coding RNA is filed under the name uncultured fungus. RNAcentral's name for it is "sequence contains ITS2". Lineage: Eukaryota; Fungi. The record is from RNAcentral.